CCAACCUGCCACCAGGAUGCAGAGCGUCCGCCGCCCUGUGUCCGGCGACACCUCGCUGUCAUCCCCCCGGCUUGUGCGCCCUUGUAGACAGCCCGGGGCCUUCGUGAGACCGGUGCAGGCCUGGGGUAGUCUCCUGUCUGGACAGAGAAGAGAAGAAUGCAAGACACCGGCUCAGUAGUGCCGUUGCAUUGGUUUGGCUUUGGCUACGCAGCACUGGUUGCUUCUGGUGGGAUCGUUGGCUAUGUAAAAGCAGGCAGCGAGCCGUCCCUGGCUGCAGGGCUGCUCUUCGACAGCCUAGCCGGCCUUGAUGCUUACCAGCUGUCUCAGGAUCCAAGGAACGUUUGGAUUUUCCUAGCUACAUCUGGUACCUUGGCUGGCAUUAUGGGAAUGAGAUUCUACCACUCUGGAAAAUUCAUGCCUGCAGAUUUAAUUGCAGGUGCCAGUUUGCUGAAGGCCGUCAAAGUUGGAGUUAGUAUGUUCAACAGACCCCAUUAGCAGAAGUCAUGUUCCAGCUUGCACUGAUGAAGAAUUAAAAAUCUGCAUCUUCCA
Non-coding RNA from Macaca mulatta (Rhesus monkey), 549 nucleotides. The record is from RefSeq and is a predicted model, not a curated record. NCBI's taxonomy places the organism in Eukaryota, Metazoa, Chordata, Mammalia, Primates, Cercopithecidae.